RNAcentral lists this ribosomal RNA (433 nucleotides) under uncultured bacterium. Its description in RNAcentral is "partial 16S ribosomal RNA". It matches the Rfam family "Bacterial small subunit ribosomal RNA", at positions 29 to 507 of the family's 1533-position model. The record is from RNAcentral.
AACGAACGCUGGCGGCAUGCCUAACACAUGCAAGUCGAACGAGACCUUCGGGUCUAGUGGCGCACGGGUGCGUAACGCGUGGGAACCUGCCCUUAGGUUCGGAAUAACUCCCCGAAAGGGGUGCUAAUACCGGAUAAUGUCUUCGGACCAAAGAUUUAUCGCCUUUGGAUGGGCCCGCGUUGGAUUAGCUAGUUGGUAGGGUAAAAGCCUACCAAGGCGACGAUCCAUAGCUGGUCUGAGAGGAUGAUCAGCCACACUGGGACUGAGACACGGCCCAGACUCCUACGGGAGGCAGCAGUGGGGAAUAUUGGACAAUGGGCGAAAGCCUGAUCCAGCAAUGCCGCGUGAGUGAUGAAGGCCUUAGGGUUGUAAAGCUUUUUUAACCGGGAUGAUAAUGACAGUACCGGGAGAAUAAGCUCCGGCUAACUCCGUG